AAUCAACGCUGGCGGCGUGCCUCAGACAUGCAAGUCGAACGCGAAAGGCCCCUUCGGGGGCCCGGUAGAGUGGCGCACGGGUGAGUAACACGUAGGUAAUUUGCCUUCGGGUGGGGAAUAACAGCCGGAAACGGCUGCUAAUACCGCAUAAUGCAGCGGCUCGACAUCGAGACAGUUGUUAAAGCGGGGGAUCGCAAGACCUCGCGCCUGAAGAGAAGCCUGCGGCAGANAGCUUGUUGGUGAGGUAAUGGCUCACCAAGGCGACGAUCUGUAACCGGCCUGAGAGGGCGGUCGGUCACACUGACACUGACAUACGGGUCAGACUCCUACGGGAGGCAGCAGUCGGGAAUUUUGGGCAAUGGGC
This 364-nucleotide ribosomal RNA is filed under the name uncultured bacterium. RNAcentral describes it as "bacterial SSU rRNA". It matches the Rfam family "Bacterial small subunit ribosomal RNA", at positions 32 to 376 of the family's 1533-position model. The record is from RNAcentral.